AGGUCGGUAGCCAAGUGGUCGAAGGCGGCGGGCUGUAAACCCGCUACGUUAGAUACAUCGUUGGUUCGAAUCCAACCCGACCUA
This 84-nucleotide transfer RNA is filed under the name Caudoviricetes sp. RNAcentral describes it as "tRNA-Tyr". It matches the Rfam family "tRNA". From Rfam's summary of the family: Transfer RNA (tRNA) molecules are approximately 80 nucleotides in length. Their secondary structure includes four short double-helical elements and three loops (D, anti-codon, and T loops). The record is from RNAcentral. Lineage: Duplodnaviria; Heunggongvirae; Uroviricota; Caudoviricetes.